GACGAACGCUGGCGGCGCGCUUAACACAUGCAAGUCGAACGGAAAGGCCUGCUUUCCCUUGUGGAUUGCGGGUACUCGAGUGGCGAACGGGUGAGUAACACGUGAGUGAUCUGCCCCCAACUUGGGUAUAAGCCUGGGAAACUGGGUCUAAUUCCCGAUAGGACUGCAGGGUGGUGCCUGUGGUGGAAAACGAUUUUCUAGUGGUUGGGGAUGAGCUCGCGGCCUAUCAGCUUGUUGGUGGGGUAAUGGCCUACCAAGGCGGCGACGGGUAGCCGGCCUGAGAGGGUGGACGGCCACAUUGGGACUGAGAUACGGCCCAGACUCCUACGGGAGGCAGCAGUGGGGAAUAUGGCACAAUGGGCGGAAGCCUGAUGCAGCGACGCCGCGUGGGGGAUGACGGCCUUCGGGUGGUAAACUCCUUUCGACCGCGAGGAAGCCACCUGGUUGGAAGGGUGGUGACGGUAGUGGGAGAAGAAGCACCGGCUAACUACGUG
RNAcentral lists this ribosomal RNA (494 nucleotides) under uncultured bacterium. RNAcentral describes it as "partial 16S ribosomal RNA". It matches the Rfam family "Bacterial small subunit ribosomal RNA", at positions 28 to 507 of the family's 1533-position model. The record is from RNAcentral.